AGAGUCCUGAUGUGUGCGUUGUGAAACCAAGUUUUGACCGAACACCAAUAGCCAAGGGAGUCCGGAGUUCCUAUGCGGCGCAAAAGCCUUCUCCGAAAGGACUUGCAAAGUAUAGGACAGGACACCCACCUGCCGAGAGCGGGUUCAAAACGUUGGCGAUAGACAACGGCACGAUUGGGACUCUC
Molecule: non-coding RNA, 185 nt
Organism: Caldibacillus debilis
Lineage: Bacteria; Bacillati; Bacillota; Bacilli; Caryophanales; Bacillaceae
Source: Rfam